GUGGCUUAAUGGUAAAGCACCCAACCGGCAAUUGGGGGAUCUGGGUUCAAAUCCGGC
This 57-nucleotide transfer RNA is filed under the name Strigamia maritima. It matches the Rfam family "tRNA", at positions 7 to 64 of the family's 71-position model. Rfam says of the family: Transfer RNA (tRNA) molecules are approximately 80 nucleotides in length. Their secondary structure includes four short double-helical elements and three loops (D, anti-codon, and T loops). Further hydrogen bonds mediate the characteristic L-shaped molecular structure. tRNAs have two regions of fundamental functional importance: the anti-codon, which is responsible for specific mRNA codon recognition, and the 3' end, to which the tRNAs corresponding amino acid is attached (by aminoacyl-tRNA synthetases). tRNAs cope with the degeneracy of the genetic code in two manners: having more than one tRNA (with a specific anti-codon) for a particular amino acid; and 'wobble' base-pairing, i.e. permitting non-standard base-pairing at the 3rd anti-codon position. Lineage: Eukaryota; Metazoa; Arthropoda; Chilopoda; Geophilomorpha; Linotaeniidae. The record is from Rfam by way of RNAcentral.